GUUUGGUCUCAUUUCACCAACUGUAGAUGUCUAAAUCUUAAAAUGAGAAGAAUCAUCUUCUGGAGGUACCACACUCUCUGUUGCCUCUUCGAGCCUUAGCAGAAGGGCAGAAGCAGGCACUGCCAAAGGACAAUUUAUCCCACCUGUCUGUCCUAAGAAAGAUAACUUCAGAUGACUAAGAGUAAAUCUUGUCCUUCAUGUUUCAGUGAGUGAAGUUUCAUUGGAUGAAUUUCAACCAACAACUGGAAUACUUCCAAAUUUUUCUGGGAAAAACAAAAGGCAUUUAAGAAGGUUGAGAUGUAAUCAAGUUUGGAAGAACUCUCUUUUGAAUAACUAGAAAGUUUUUUGGUUUUUUUUCCCCCCAAGACAUUAUUGUAUUACCUGUGAUUGUAUGAGUAAGUUUGUUUCACUAUGAACAUAUCAAACUUGGAUAUGACAGCCCUGGUUACUUAUGAAGUAAAUAUGCAAAAGAAUAGCAAAUCAGAAUUUGAAGCCACAUUUCAGAAUCAAGUGCAAGCUCAAUGA
RNAcentral lists this long non-coding RNA (525 nucleotides) under Apteryx rowi (Okarito brown kiwi). RNAcentral describes it as "lncRNA (ENSARWG00000007964.1)". The record is from RNAcentral. Lineage: Eukaryota; Metazoa; Chordata; Aves; Apterygiformes; Apterygidae.